Numida meleagris (helmeted guineafowl) is the source of this 3557-nucleotide long non-coding RNA. RefSeq lists it as uncharacterized. The record is from RefSeq and is a predicted model, not a curated record. The transcript is spliced from 2 exons. NCBI's taxonomy places the organism in Eukaryota, Metazoa, Chordata, Aves, Galliformes, Numididae.
UCCCUUCCCUUCCCUUCCACCUUCCCUUUUCCCUUUCCUUCCCUGUUGGUGCCAGACAGCACGCAGCAGAUGAUCCCCAGAGGGGUAUGCUCAGCACACACAAACAUGAUGUUUACUGGCUCUGGGAUGGAUCAGGGAGGGAUUUAGAGUCUCCGAGCUUGGCUGCACAGCUCAGAGAUCCCCCUGCAACUCUUCAUGAAGGUUCUUGGUGGGAAAAGCUCUGUGUAGGUUAGAGGAACUCCAGCUUGGGUAAAACGAUACCUGUUCUUGGUGACCUGCUCGCAGAUGUUUCCCAAGGAUGUUUGUAUUUGGUUUUAGCAGGGGUAGCUGGGGUUUGGUAAGAGCACGGCCCCAGGGCACAUAGUGCAAAUAUCCACAGAAUCAUCAAAUCAUUAAGGUUGGAAAAGGCCUCUAAAGUCUUCUAGUCCAACCAUCAACCCACCCCCACCAUGCUCACUAAGCCAUGUCCCCAAGCGCCAAGACUUGGGCAGAGAUUGGGUAAUCUUAAUGGAAAGAAGCCACUGGGGUGAGCAGAGUAGUGAUCCUGCGGCUCCAAGCAUCAGUAAGUCCCCUUUUCCCUUCUUUCUGACUCUUUUGCAUUCAGUACUUCUGUCUGCCAGGGCUGAAGUCAGGGUUGAGCAUGGCAAUGGCUCCUCUUGAUGAUCUCUAGAGGUCCCUUCCAACCCCUGCAAUUCUGUGAUUCCAUGAUACCAGCUUGCGUCUGGCCAGUGUGGGCAGAUUUCCCUCAACUUCAUUCUCCUGCAAAGCCAUUUGACUUUUCCAGCUGCUAAAGUCUCUGUGCUUUAUCACUCAUAGAAGGCAGCAUGCCUUACCUCUUCCUGACUCCAUCCCUCCCUUCCUCCCCAUGGACUGGACUGGAGUGCUUGGCCAACCCAUGGGGCUGACCUUACCACCAUGCUCCGUCUGUGACCCAAAUGGGGAGGGCUGAAGAGUUUGGGUUUGUACAGGGCUGUGAGGUGCUCCCCUGGUACAUGCCCAUCAGCCUCUUAUAGGAAACUACAGUCCUGGGGUGUAAAGAUGGGAGAGGAGCAGACUGGAUUAACCUUGAUCAGCGUCCCAGGGCAAUGUCUUGUUUGUUGGGAUCCAGGAAAAUGCUUUAACCUCAUGUCUCUUGUAUUUUCUUUGUCCUACACACUUAUAUGAACAAUACAGCGAGUUAGGGAAGGAUUCAUCCGGCACUUGAAAAGCCCUUGGAAUUGCAUACUCUUCUGGGGACAAGAAAGUGGCUGUAUAAAAACAGACCCUUGUCACUUUGUCAGCUCCUCUGUACCCAUGUCAGUGGGGCUGCUGCUUCACUCCCUAUGUCCCCGCAGCCCCGCUGAGCUGGCUCCCCUCUGCCUGCUGCAAGCAGCCGAGUGCCUUGCCUUCCCCUGGCAAGAUACCCCUUGCAGGUGGCUGAUGGAAGCCAGCAGGGUCAGAGCUUGGCUGUCAGAUCCCAGCAGGAGCACGGGGCUUGGGCAGCAGGGUGUACAAAUGCAUGAGGGGUCUAAAGCAAAUCUGAUUUGGGAUUGCUGAGGCAGGAAUGCCCACAAUGGAUCUUGCAAAACCUAUCCCCAAGGCUGGGCUGCCUUUGAACACAAAUUAGUCAGGACUGAAGUUGCUUACAUCCCCUGAUAUGGUUUUAGCAUUUUGUGAUUUGCUCCUAAUUCAUCUGAAGCCAGAAAUGCUUCCUGGUGUGCCCUCUGAGUUGUCAUCCGAGUUGAGCUGCAUUGCCUAGGGCUGUUUCUCCAGGACUGGGAACUUUCUGUUCUCUCCUGUCUGAUCACACAGGGUAGAAAUCUCUGCAGGAAUGCAUGAACUGUGACCUGCUGCAUGGGCUGCACGGCUGCUGUGGCUCUUGAGGAUAGGCAGGAAACCCGUAGGAACAUUGCUCCUCUUCCCCCUGACUUUUAUUUUCCUUUUUAUCUGUACUCACAGUUCAGCUCCAGCAACCCUAACAGCAAUUAGUCCUUCAAAACUGGAGCUAGCCAUGCAGUGGGAAGGCGCUCUUGGUGGAUAUUAAGAGGCUCCAUUUUGGAUGGUUGAGGUGGGUAGGUGAUGGGCAGAGGGGAACAACAGAUUAGUGAUGGUCUGGAAGUGGCCCCAGAAUGUCUGAGACCAGCUCUGCUUCCACCUGCCUGCCGUGGCCUGGAUGCCAUCCAGAUGCCAGGACGGAGAUCUCUUCCUUGCACGCUCAAUUUUCUGCCUGCAAUUCUGACCUCAUUCAAUCUUACCCAGAAGAAAAACCCUUUGAAUAGUGCAUGUGCCUGUGCAGCUGUGGCAUGUUCACACUGUCAGUGAGGCGAGAGUCCCUUUGGCUCUGGAGUGGAAAGCGACCUCAUUUUGUGUGGCUGCGUCACUGCUGUCAUCCUAAGCACCCUCCUGCCCUGCUGCUGACCUGACCCAAGCUGCUGCUGGGUGAGCGGUGGGGCAUGGACCUGCCUGGGGGUGUGAGUGCUGGUGGUGUUGCCCUGGAGGGCAUUGCUCAGCCAGAGAGACAACAGAUAGGCACACAUCUUUGUGCUGUUCCCUGAGGCUGACUUCAUUUUCCAUCAGCAUUUUUCCAAAAACAGAGCCAAAUCCUAAAAUGGGUGAGCAGUAGAGUAAUGCAGAGCAUGUGAGGCACCUGUAAACCUCCAUACUAUGUUUUAAAUGUGCAGUAUUCUUUUCUAACCCUUCUUUUUCUCCAGUAAGGAUUAUAUCCUAACAGAUGGGCAGCAGGAACUGCAACAUCAGUCAUCAGCCACUGGAGAAAGGCAGGGUUUUGUUGCAUACCUCCAAGCUGAAGGCUGUAUCCAAGUUGCUCUGUAUUUGCAUUUUUGCUCAUUUUACUUUGGAGUUCCUAAUCCAAGCCUGGCUUGGUUUUCCAAGGGGUUCAGGGAGUUGGAAGAGGAAAUUUGCAAUAGGCAAAAGCUCUUGCUGAGGCUCUGGCUGGACCUGGGGCAGUAGGAUCCCUGUGGGACUCUGUAGCACAGGGAUGGCAGAUGUGGAAUGAGGGGAUGAUGAGCUUGGCUCUCCUCUGAUCUUUGCUCUGCCCUGCCUGGAAGCAGCAGCCUGGUUCAUGCCUGCUGCAUGCCUGGUUCAUGCUUCCAUUUCAGCCUAGUAGGGUCUGGGACAACAAAGAACACAGAUGAGGGGUUUGUUUCUGCUUUUUGGAGAUGGCAGCUUCCAGCCAGUCCUGUUGGGUUAGGAUGAGCAGAAAGGCUGCAGGAGGUGGAGGUGAUAUUCCCUCAUCUGCAUAUCCAUCACUGUUUCUUUUGCAGGUUCAGCUGCAGGAAGUGGCUGGUGUGAAACUGCACAGCAAAUCCCCAGGCCUGGGGCUCUUGUUCCUGUCAGUCCAUUGCCUCCUGCUUCAUUUUCCCCUGCAGCCCUUUGGCACUUGCUUUGCAGCGGAGAGGAGGAUGCUUUUGCAGCCAGAAGCCAGCUCAUCCCUGCUACCACGGGGAGCCGCAGCCACAGACUGAAACCACAGCUCACCAGCAAAUGCAAAACAAUGUGCAAAACAUGUUUUAAUGUCAGGUUUUUAUUAAAAGUGGACUAAGAGAUUAAGAUGUUCA